RNAcentral lists this ribosomal RNA (279 nucleotides) under uncultured bacterium. RNAcentral's name for it is "partial 16S ribosomal RNA". It matches the Rfam family "Bacterial small subunit ribosomal RNA", at positions 506 to 784 of the family's 1533-position model. The record is from RNAcentral.
UGCCAGCCGUCGCGGUAAUACAUAGGGGGCAUGCGUUAUCCGGAAUUAUUGGGCGUAAAGGGCGCGCAGGCGGUCUUGUCCGUCAGGUGUGAAAGCUCGGGGCUCAACCCCGGAACUGCAUUCGAUACUGGUAGACUAGAGUUUGGGAGGGGUAAGCGGAAUUCCGUGUGUAGCAGUGAAAUGCGUAGAUAUACGGAGGAACACCUGAGGCGAAGGCGGCUUACUGGACCAAUACUGACACUGAGGAUCGAAAGCGUGGGUAGCAAACAGGAUUAGAUA